UCAAACUUGGUCAUUUAGAGGAAGUAAAAGUCGUAACAAGGUCUCCGUUGGUGAACCAGCGGAGGGAUCAUUACAGGGUCUGACGACUGCCCAAACCAAACCGUGAACUAUUCCGCGAACCAUAUGCUUCGGCGGGCCGCUCGCUGGGGGAGCCGCGGCCGCUUUGUCGGUGGGCCGCCGAAAGCAUGCAAAUCUAAACUCUGAGAACUGCUCUGAGAAAAAUCUUUUCCAAUGGAAUAAAUUACAACUCAUAACAAUGGAUCUCUUGGCUCUGGCAUCGAUGAAGAACGCAGC
This 294-nucleotide unclassified non-coding RNA is filed under the name uncultured fungus. RNAcentral's name for it is "partial contains small subunit ribosomal RNA, internal transcribed spacer 1, and 5.8S ribosomal RNA". The stretch from base 1 to 73 matches the Rfam family "Eukaryotic small subunit ribosomal RNA", at positions 1759 to 1831 of the family's 1831-position model. The record is from RNAcentral. Lineage: Eukaryota; Fungi.